This is a long non-coding RNA of Mytilus californianus (California mussel), 893 nucleotides long. RefSeq lists it as uncharacterized. Lineage: Eukaryota; Metazoa; Mollusca; Bivalvia; Mytilida; Mytilidae. The transcript is spliced from 4 exons. The record is from RefSeq and is a predicted model, not a curated record.
AUAUAUAACUCUGAAAUAUAUGAAAAAUGAUUCUUCCGAAAGGAACGGCUUUGCUAAUUAAAACCCGUUUUUUGUAUUGCAAAAUUUGCGCAGUAAAAAUACAAACACACUUUUUACUCUUGUUUACGUUUUCUAAAUAAAAAAUUAUCACACAUGUGAAGCUACUGGUCAAGGGAGCGUGACUACAACAACUACACAACGUCCUAUCGGAGGUUUUACAUCAACUACGAAAAGAUAUUCAACCGAUAGACCAUAUCCAACACACAAACCAAAUGACAACACAGGCAACUAUUCAUCUAACAGCAGGACGGCAGUCGUAAGCAUUGCUGUUGGUGCUUCAGUUGCAUUUUGAGCAGUGGGCAUUUUUGUUUUGUGUGUGAUUUUUGUGGUUUUGAAACAAAGAUGAAAACGUGAUCACAUAAGAAGGAAUGUCCCAAUCACUGCCCCCAACUUGCUGAUAGCUGGGAAUAGUGGACAGGCACGAGAAAAUCUAAUAUAUUAUGUAGGAGAGAGAGGAACAACCAUAGUGCCUAACUCGCCACAUGGUUAUACAAAUGUAAGUUUCACUAGCAACCAAAAUGUGACCAAUAGUAAUCCGGAAUAUGCUACACCGCCACCUUACUCAACGUGUGUUGUUUCUAAUCAAUCAGGAAGAGUUUUGUCAGCACCAUCUGACUCUGCAGUACAUUCUCCAGAAAUUCAACAUCUCAGCAAAAACGCUGAGGUAAAUAGAUAUAUGUGUGCCAAUGCUCCGUGUUGAAGACCGUUCUUUGACCUGUUAUGGUUCAAUUUUACAGUUUGUGACUUGAAUUGAGAGUUGUCUCUUUGGCACUCAUACCACAUCUUCAUAUAUGAGGUACAUAGAUAUAUGUGAGCCAAUGCUCCGCGUUGAA